Molecule: ribosomal RNA, 664 nt
Filed under: uncultured beta proteobacterium
Lineage: Bacteria; Pseudomonadati; Pseudomonadota; Betaproteobacteria
Description: bacterial SSU rRNA
Rfam family: Bacterial small subunit ribosomal RNA
Source: RNAcentral
AACGGCAGCGCGGGAGCUUGCUCCUGGCGGCGAGUGGCGAACGGGUGAGUAAUACAUCGGAACGUGUCCGUUUGUGGGGGACAACCAGCCGAAAGGUUGGCUAAUACCGCAUAAGACCUGAGGGUGAAAGCCGGGGACCGCAAGGCCUGGCGCAGACGGAGCGGCCGAUGAUUGAUUAGCUUGUUGGCGGGGUAAAGGCCCACCAAGGCGACGAUCAAUAGCUGGUCUGAGAGGACGACCAGCCACACUGGAACUGAGACACGGUCCAGACUCCUACGGGAGGCAGCAGUGGGGAAUUUUGGACAAUGGGGGCAACCCUGAUCCAGCCAUGCCGCGUGCGGGAAGAAGGCCUUCGGGUUGUAAACCGCUUUUGUCAGGGACGAAAAGGGACGGGUUAAGAGCUAGUUCCGCUGACGGUACCUGGAGAAUAAGCACCGGCUAACUACGUGCCAGCAGCCGCGGUAAUACGUAGGGUGCAAGCGUUAAUCGGAAUUACUGGGCGUAAAGCGUGCGCAGGCGGUUGGGUAAGACAGAUGUGAAAUCCCCGGGCUUAACCUGGGAACUGCAUUUGUGACUGUCCGACUGGAGUACGUCAGAGGGGGGUGGAAUUCCGCGUGUAGCAGUGAAAUGCGUAGAUAUGCGGAAGAACACCGAUGGCGAAGGC